Molecule: non-coding RNA, 92 nt
Organism: Acanthosepion pharaonis
Lineage: Eukaryota; Metazoa; Mollusca; Cephalopoda; Sepiida; Sepiidae
Source: the annotation of a GenBank genome assembly
UUGAAGCACCAGUUCUCGUACGGUCACAGAAGUUAAGCAACAUCGAAUCUGGUUGGUAGCUAAGUGGGUGACCGCUUGGGAAUAUCAGGUGU